This 1772-nucleotide long non-coding RNA is filed under the name Chinchilla lanigera (long-tailed chinchilla). Its description in RNAcentral is "lncRNA (ENSCLAG00000022342.1)". The record is from RNAcentral. Lineage: Eukaryota; Metazoa; Chordata; Mammalia; Rodentia; Chinchillidae.
UGUGUUCAGGCUGACUGGAUGCCGUGGAGAGUUCCUGGAAAGUUUGGAGGAGGUCAGCGUGCAUCCGUUGUGCCUUUGCUGUUUGCAAGCCCAGAGUGAAGCACUAGGAAUACCAAGACAAGUAACAGAAGAUUCCUGCUGGGUGGAGAUGACAGCUGAGUGGGAGAGACGGACUAAAGCUAGAGUUUCCAUGCACCAUGAUGAGUGCUAAGAUAAGACUCCUGGCUGCUAAGAAGAGAUAAAAGAAGGGUGCUUACUCAGAGCUGGCGUCCAGGGAAAGCUUCCCAAAGAGAUAACAACUGAGCUAAGUAUUAAAAGUUGAGAGAGAAUCAUUUAGAUGAAAAUAGAAACUAAUGAAAGAAAAAAAGGGCAGCUUGAGAAAUGUCACAGACGUGAAGCAGCGUGGGGAUGUGGACGGAAAAACUCCCCCAAAUGAGUUGUUGGAGGGAAAUAUUUCAGUCAUGGAGCGGUGGGAAGAGAGGCUGAAGAAGCAAGAGUCAGGUGGGGAGGGACUUUGACUCUGCCCUUGGAUCGAUGCUGGAGGAAUGCUGAAUCCCACAUUCCUUGCUUCCUUUCUUAGCCACACUCUGUCCUUAGACACCAGCACCAGUCUAGUCCAAGCUAACACCGCUUCCACCUGGAUCAUAUCAGUCGCUCCACAUACAGCCCUGCAGCACUUCCCUUUGCUUUCAUUCCUGUGCUGCUGGUAGACCCUCUGCACAGAGGCUGAGCAUUUCCUCUAAGACACAGGAUAAGUAGUGGCAUUCCCCAUUGCUCCAGCCUCCAGUGACUUCAUCACGUUUAGAAUAAUUACCAGGGCCUGAAAGGUAAGGCCUUACAUGAAUUGGCCCUGUACUUAUCUUUCCCUAUUCUGAUUAAUGCUGUUCCCUCAUUUUUAUGCUAAGACAGAACUCUUUUAUUUUUUGCCAGAACGUAUUCCCCAUCUCAUCAGGACCAUGGACGUAUGUGUAUAUAUCAUUUCCCUGGGUUAAAAUUGCCAAGGCAUUCAUGUGUCCCUUGUGAGGUGCAUAAGCAUUGUCUUGCUAUGGAUGAGAAUGACAACAAUGAGUUGGAUGUGUUCUUGGCACCAGAUAGAAGUCCGAUAAUGGUUUUAAUGAUAGUUUCUACAGCAAUUGGCCUUACCCUGGGGGCUUCCCAUCUCUCUAAUGACUGGGGCUAUGUCUGCUUAGUUUAUAAGAUCUGGCAAAAUUACAGUGUGAACAAGUAAUACCAUGGGCUGUUGUACAAAUUAUAGCAGGUCUGUCUCUUGUAUAACCCUGUGGAACUUAUCUGAGCCCAGUGCCUCUAGAGGCUUCAUGAAUACUGACUUCAAAGGAAAUGCUACACUAUUAUGAAGACCACACACCGGGUACCUAGGAAAACAAGAAUGGAUCCACAGUGUUUAACUUGUACAACUAUCUGAACUGACUGAAAUUUUUAAGAAAGUAUUGGAUCAGUUGAUAUUGGCAUUUGGCAGAACAUGACAAUUUUGUUCUUAAUAUGGUUUGGGAAAGUUCUUUUUAGCAUAGGAAAAUUUAUUAUCUUAGUCCAGGAAAGAAUUAUAGGGGCCUCAAAUCUAUAAACUCUGAAACCAAGAGAGAUUAUGAAAUUAUUUUGGAUGAUUGGGACAAAGGUCUUUCCAAAGAGAAGGUUUACUACUUUAAAAUACUACUAACAUAGCCUUUCCAGGCAAUGACCUAGAAAUCUGACAAUGUGAUAAUGAAUUCUCAAACAAAUAAAACAAACAAAUAAAAAGUCACAUUGGAAUGUCU